RNAcentral lists this ribosomal RNA (404 nucleotides) under Fusobacteriota bacterium. Its description in RNAcentral is "Fusobacteria bacterium partial 16S ribosomal RNA". It matches the Rfam family "Bacterial small subunit ribosomal RNA", at positions 355 to 776 of the family's 1533-position model. Lineage: Bacteria; Fusobacteriati; Fusobacteriota. The record is from RNAcentral.
UGGGGAAUAUUGCACAAUGGAGGGAACUCUGAUGCAGCGACGCCGCGUGAGUGAUGAAGGAAUUCGUUUCGUAAAACUCUGUUCUAUGGGAAGAAAAGGACUUUACCAUAGGAGAAAUCUCCGGCUAAAUACGUGCCAGCAGCCGCGGUAAUACGUAUGGAGCGAGCGUUGUCCGGAAUUAUUGGGCGUAAAGGGUGCGCAGGGGGCUUUACAAGUUGGAUGUGAAAUAUUGUGGCUCAACCACAAACGUGCAUCCAAAACUGCAAAGCUUGAGUUAAGGAGACGUAAGUUGAAUUCCUGGUGUAGCGGUGGAAUGCGUAGAUAUCAGGAGGACUACCGGUGGCGUAGGCGACUUACACGAAUUAAACUGUCGCUCAGUCACGAAAGCGUGGGGAGCAAACAGG